RNAcentral lists this ribosomal RNA (252 nucleotides) under uncultured bacterium. RNAcentral's name for it is "partial 16S ribosomal RNA". It matches the Rfam family "Bacterial small subunit ribosomal RNA", at positions 524 to 776 of the family's 1533-position model. The record is from RNAcentral.
UACGUAGGUGGCAAGCGUUAUCCGGAUUUAUUGGGCGUAAAGGGUGCGUAGGUGGUUUCUUAAGUCAGAGGUGAAAGGCUACGGCUCAACCGUAGUAAGCCUUUGAAACUGGGGAACUUGAGUGCAGGAGAGGAGAGUGGAAUUCCUAGUGUAGCGGUGAAAUGCGUAGAUAUUAGGAGGAACACCAGUUGCGAAGGCGGCUCUCUGGACUGUAACUGACACUGAGGCACGAAAGCGUGGGGAGCAAACAGG